AGGGUUUGAUCCUGGCUCAGAUUGAACGCUGGCGGCAUGCUUUACACAUGCAAGUCGAACGGUAACAGGCCGCAAGGUGCUGACGAGUGGCGAACGGGUGAGUAAUGUAUCGGAACGUGCCCAGUCGUGGGGGAUAACGCAGCGAAAGCUGCGCUAAUACCGCAUACGAUCUAUGGAUGAAAGCGGGGGACCGUAAGGCCUCGCGCGAUUGGAGCGGCCGAUAUCAGAUUAGGUAGUUGGUGGGGUAAAGGCUCACCAAGCCAACGAUCUGUAGCUGGUCUGAGAGGACGACCAGCCACACUGGGACUGAGACACGGCCCAGACUCCUACGGGAGGCAGCAGUGGGGAAUUUUGGACAAUGGGCGCAAGCCUGAUCCAGCAAUGCCGCGUGCAGGAAGAAGGCCUUCGGGUUGUAAACUGCUUUUGUACGGAACGAAACGGUCCUGGUUAAUACCUGGGGCUAAUGACGGUACCGUAAGAAUAAGCACCGGCUAACUACGUGCCAGCAGCCGCGGUAAUACGUAGGGUGCAAGCGUUAAUCGGAAUUACUGGGCGUAAAG
Molecule: ribosomal RNA, 560 nt
Filed under: uncultured bacterium
Lineage: Bacteria
Description: bacterial SSU rRNA
Rfam family: Bacterial small subunit ribosomal RNA
Source: RNAcentral